This 526-nucleotide ribosomal RNA is filed under the name Staphylococcus aureus. Its description in RNAcentral is "partial 23S ribosomal RNA". It matches the Rfam family "Bacterial large subunit ribosomal RNA", at positions 456 to 984 of the family's 2925-position model. The record is from RNAcentral. Lineage: Bacteria; Bacillati; Bacillota; Bacilli; Caryophanales; Staphylococcaceae.
UCUCCUAAGGCUAAAUACUCUCUAGUGACCGAUAGUGAACCAGUACCGUGAGGGAAAGGUGAAAAGCACCCCGGAAGGGGAGUGAAAUAGAACCUGAAACCGUGUGCUUACAAGUAGUCAGAGCCCGUUAAUGGGUGAUGGCGUGCCUUUUGUAGAAUGAACCGGCGAGUUACGAUUUGAUGCAAGGUUAAGCAGUAAAUGUGGAGCCGUAGCGAAAGCGAGUCUGAAUAGGGCGUUUAGUAUUUGGUCGUAGACCCGAAACCAGGUGAUCUACCCUUGGUCAGGUUGAAGUUCAGGUAACACUGAAUGGAGGACCGAACCGACUUACGUUGAAAAGUGAGCGGAUGAACUGAGGGUAGCGGAGAAAUUCCAAUCGAACCUGGAGAUAGCUGGUUCUCUCCGAAAUAGCUUUAGGGCUAGCCUCAAGUGAUGAUUAUUGGAGGUAGAGCACUGUUUGGACGAGGGGCCCCUCUCGGGUUACCGAAUUCAGACAAACUCCGAAUGCCAAUUAAUUUAACUUGGGAGU